Molecule: small nuclear RNA, 141 nt
Organism: Xenopus tropicalis (tropical clawed frog)
Lineage: Eukaryota; Metazoa; Chordata; Amphibia; Anura; Pipidae
Gene: U4
Rfam family: U4 spliceosomal RNA
About the family: U4 small nuclear RNA (U4 snRNA) is a component of the major U2-dependent spliceosome.
Source: Ensembl
AGCUUUGCGCAGUGGCAGUAUCAUAGCCAAUGAGGUCAAACCGAGGCGUGAUUAUUGCUAAUUGAAAACUUUUCCCAAUACCCCGCCAUGAUGACUUGAAAUAUAGUCAGCACUGGCAAUUUUUGACAGUCUCUCAGGAGA